AGUUGCCAAGCAAGAUAUGCUCAUUUACUGAGGAUGUUGAAUCUUGUCAUAGGAUACGGUGUGAGUAAGAUGUGCUGUAUAAGGGAACAGAAUUUUUUCUGUAAGGACUGAUGAGAACUGUCCAGAAUAAGAGGGACUUUUGGCAUGGCACAGAUAAUAUGCAGCAAUAAGGAGAGAAAGAAAUUAGUUGAGUAGUAUGCACUCAGUUCCUGGGGAACACAUGAGGGACUCUACUCAUCACCUGAGUUAAACCUUACUGGAGGUUUGAAAGAGUCUGUUUUGCACACUGUUGGAAAUGAUCAUUCACUGAUAUUUCAAAGAGUGACAGAAGAAGAUAGAAAUUACAUCAAUAGACAUACAACAGGUGUGGAAAUUUAACAAAAUAUGUGAUCCAAAAACUAAGAUGAAUGAAUCAUGGAAGUGGACUGCCUUUAUCAUUUACUGUUUGAAGACAAGUUUGCAGGUUUUAUAUUACCCUAAUACGUCGUCAACCUGGCCUAAAAGUAAAUUACUAGAGAAGAAGAAUUCGUGCAACACCUUUCCUGCUACCCAUCAAGAAUAAGUGAGUAGUGGAAAUGUACAUGUGAUUUGUUCUUUCUCUUCUCGCUUCCUUCACUUUCUGAAAGCCAACAGAUCCUUCAGCAAGCUCCAGUGCUCUAUCCAGGUCCUCUUUACACUGUGGCAAGCCACGGAAAGUUCAAAGCUUGCAUAUCAAAUGACAGUAAUUUAAUACAUAAUGCUGAAAAGUACAGUAUUUCUUUUCAUUUUUUAAAUAUUCUUUGUUUCCUAGGUUCACUUCCCUGCUGUUUCCAUCUGGAACAUCAGCCGAACCAUAAGAAUGUCACUUAUGUUUUAUUAUCUAGAUUGUGUUGUCUGGUUUCAAUUGACAUGUAUUCUGUGAGGAUAUUCACACACACUUAGAUUAGAGACUUCAUGUUCUUUUCAGUUACAGAAGUAACAGAGGCCACAUUUAAAAUCAAGAGAGAAAUUUGGCAAAGGAAAAUAGGGAACACAUCCUGUGUUUCUACCCUUUCACUUGGUUUCUUCUGCUUUAUCUACACCCCUGUCCAGACAUCAUCUUUAUGUUAAAUGAUGAAUUGAACACGUGAAAGUCAAAGAGCUUUGUCUAUUUGUUUGUUUGUCUGUCUGAACACAAGCAUCCCAAAGUUUUCAAAUCAUUCCACCCUUCUGAACCUAUUCAGUCUGGCUAUCACUUGAACUCUCUUUCCUGAAAGGAGCUUUGUAUGUAUUUCUUGAAGUCUCUCUGGAAAUACAGAGAGGAAAAUGCCCCUCUCAGUUUGGAUUCACUCAGUGCUGAGCAGUGUGGUUGUCAUCCAGUAAAGCAUUUAAGGUCAGUUUAUAUUUAAGCGUAACCUUGUUGAAGUUAGUGGUGUGAUGCAUGUACUUAAAUUUAAGCUCACAGAAGAGUACUUUACUGGAUCACAGCCAGAGUACUCAGCGACUUACAGGACUAAACUCCUUCUCUUCUUUGACACCGGCCUAAGGCAAGGUACACAGAAAUUCGUGAAUAUACAUCCUUUAUAGUAUAGAGGCUAAAUACAGUAUUAUUCUGAGGAUUACUUCAUAUUCCAUUCAGUAAAAGACAUUAUCCAGUUUCUUAAAACGCUUGACAGUUGUGCUGAUAGCGAGGACAUUACAAUUCCAAAAGAGUCUAACUUAGCCUGUCAUUCUCUUUUGAACAUGCUGAAUUUUAUGACUCAGGAGAUUCAGGUCAAGUUGGUGUUCUGAAUGAAGAUAAUUUGUUAACACACUUUUAAAUCCCUGCAACGUUCUGCUGACAAAGGCUAAUUUAAUACGCAAUGGAUUCAACACAUCUCCACUGCUGGUGUACCUUUUAAAUGAAAGUGUAUUUCACAGUUUAGACUAACUUGAGCCAUUUAAUUAAAUGUCAAGUGCUUCAGACAGACAAAGUUAAAUAUUUCGGUAGCUAUGCAAGUUUUUUUUUUAAAGUUGGUUUGGAUAGUGAGCCUUACUGUUCCUCUUGAAAUAUGAAUAUGUCUUGAAAAUUUCUGUUUCAGAAAAUGCAUAAUCAAUUAUAGUCAAUAGUUGACUUCUGCUGAGUGUGUUAUUGACUUGGCAAGAUACUUAGUAUGUGGAAUAGUCACUGCUGUAAGACUUAUGAAAUUAAUUCAGUUAGAUGACGAGAAAAUUGCUUUGAAUUUGCACAAAAUCUGGCAGGCUUGGGAGUUUUGUGGGGGUGUUUCUGUGUUUUGCUUUAUGUUUUUUGUGUUUUUUCAAAAAAUUUUCAAACAUAUGUUAAAAGUACCCAGUGCACUGUCUCCUUCAGAUUAAACCAAUUAUAAUGCCUAUAAAUUAAAUAAAUUUAUUACUAAAAAUAUUGGGAUUUUAUUGACUGUUUCACAGAAUAUUUAAAAGUGAUCUCAAACCAGUCCAACGUGAAUAUGUUCAGCUAUAAACAAGGGUUCACUUGAGAUACAUUCCACUCAUUAUUUACUUGAUUAUAGAGCCUGGUUUGAUGGGAUACAAUCAGUUUUCUUUUCUCAAUGGCCUAUUGAAUGAUGAUAUUAUUCAGAAUUCCAUUUAGAUGAUGCAAAUGACCUAAUCGGCUUGUCUUCUGACACGUGAAUAACUGAACUCAAAUGUCAAAGCAAACUUCAUAAACAAAAUCUCUCUUUUAUGCAACUGAAAUUAUUCUAUGGGAAGCUUAGGAAUAUUAUUUAUGGAAACUGAUUUUUUUUCUCUCACUUAUACAACAUAAGUAUACACAUCCUUACUCAUGUCACAUGCUAGCAUUUCAGGAUUUUGUAUUCUAAGCAAAGAAGAAAGAAAAAAUGCAUAGCCAGUAAGUAAAAUGAUAGUAAAUUAAAAUCACAGCACAGACCUUUUGGUUUGAUUUCUAUAAUAAAAUACACCUUUGUUCAAAACUCGGGCAGUUCUCAAUGAAGAAAAUAUUUCUUUUCUGCUUAUUCAAGUGCUGAUCAUACUUGCUGUCUUUCAAACUAUGAAUUAGCAUGAGUAUAGUAUUAGUAGAAAUAACUACAGCAGCUCACAGUUAUGUGUAUCACACACUGUGAUGUGAAUCACACAGAUACGUCAACAUUAACUUUAAACUGUAUGGCUUGGUAGCAGUUCAAUUUUGACAACAUAAAGAUUCUUGGGAAACAGCUACCUGUUUCUGCUUAUGAAGCCUGUCUGGGUAUCACUUAACUUGCCUUUUUAAGGUACUUUAUCCAAUGUUCAAGGCAUCUAAUGAAAAAUCGACAAAUACAGAUUACACGUCCUGCUUUCAUGUCUUGGUUACAAUGUGGCCUUCCACAAAAUGAUCGCAUAAAGUUGUUAGCAUAGCCUUCUAGAUUGUCUUGGAUACCCAGAGAUGAUUUUCCAAAAGAAAAUAUUUGAAACCACAGUCUGGUCCUUGCUUGCACAUUCGUUUGGUGGCAUCAUGAAAAAAGUCUUGAUAAGUAGUGGUGAAAUGUUGCCAGCUACAUGUUUCAACUAAUUUAUUUCUUUUUCUUAAUGUCAUCCUUAGUUAACCAUGAAUGAAUUAUGUUUUGAAGGAGUUCUUAAGCCGAGGCAGAGCUAAUCAAGGUAUUUCAGCAAGAGCAGUAAGUGAAAGCAGCUAUCAGCGUAAGCAGUGUUUCAUCACAAGUGAUCCCACAGGUUGCCUGUAUUUUAUAUUUUAGGCAGAUUAACUUUUACCAGAGGAGAUAAUGUUCUUUUCAUAAUAAGAUUAUAUUCCUGACAUAUUACAUAUCUUUUUUUUCUAGCUGAAGAUCAAGACUGAAAUGUAGUGAUCUGCAACAGAAAUUAUACUUGAGAUUCGUUGAAGGAUAUCAAGAGAGCUUGGUCCAUUGCAUUUAUAGCAUUGGUGUCAUAGAUAUUUUUCUUCUGUUUUGGAUACUAAACCUACAGACAUCAGUGUAAGAAACAUUACAGACUAUUGUUGAAAGCAUUCACCGUUGGAAAGUCUGUGACUUUGUGUUGCCGUGCUCUCUUACUUCAUGUCAGUGAAUAUGAAGUAAUCUUCCUGUAAGCAAUGCCUGCCAGCAGGGAGAUUCUUAAAGACAUUGUAUGAUCUGCUGUAGCCAUGCAUAUGAAUCUAACUCGAAGAUAGACUUUUCUAAUUUGAAUUCAUAUGCUUUCUUUAGUCAAUGUAAUGAACUGGUUAGGGACAUGUUUUUAAAUUAACUGAAGUCUGAGAUUUUCAAGAAUGAAGAUAACAGCAGUUAAUUAAGAAUAAAUAGUGAAUAUAUACAACUGGAAUAAAAUUUGAAGUAGAAGUUCAGUGACGUCAAAUCUCCAUUUUUCAUACAGUUAUAAAAUUUUAAAUAUUAAAGGGUUAAUAGACUGAUGUUUAAUUUUGCUAUAAAAGCUGUGAAAAAAAAAACAUUAUGAAAAAUAUUUUUUAUACUGUGGUAUUAUUCCAUAGUUUUAGAAGCUAUAUACUAACGUAAACACUGCAUUUAUAUUUGAUCUGCCCAUAUCUUCCAGUUGCCAUUCUUAGUCCAGUUUAUUAACUUCUACUUGUAGUCAGCAGCCAAAGAUCAUGAAACAUAUUUUAUUGUUGUGUAUAUAAAUUUUUAAGCACAUACACAUACAUGAAAUAAUACUUGUUGUCUUUACUACAAAAAACAUUCCAAAGCAUUCAAACUACAA
Molecule: long non-coding RNA, 4638 nt
Organism: Cuculus canorus (common cuckoo)
Lineage: Eukaryota; Metazoa; Chordata; Aves; Cuculiformes; Cuculidae
Exons: 4
Source: RefSeq, a predicted model, not a curated record